UUAGCUGUUUGUUGCUGCAGGCACUGAGCACUGAGCGGAGCAGAGAGGCCAUCUUCUGCAGCCUGCAGAGCAUGGAUCUACUGCAGGAAAUCAUGGUGGAGCUGCAAAGUGGAAGCCAAAAAGUAGAUGCCAGCCCAAGGACAAGCCCAGCCUUGGCUCACCGAUGCAGACUUCUGGGGUGCCCACAGCCCCCCUUCUCUGCAGACCCCACCCCUGCCGGAGCCUCCCAAGAGUGACUCCCACUGUCUGCCCCACACGAAGUAAACCUAUAAAGUAUC
This is a long non-coding RNA of Ochotona princeps (American pika), 278 nucleotides long. RefSeq lists it as uncharacterized. The transcript has 2 exons. NCBI's taxonomy places the organism in Eukaryota, Metazoa, Chordata, Mammalia, Lagomorpha, Ochotonidae. The record is from RefSeq and is a predicted model, not a curated record.